Molecule: ribosomal RNA, 446 nt
Filed under: uncultured bacterium
Lineage: Bacteria
Description: bacterial SSU rRNA
Rfam family: Bacterial small subunit ribosomal RNA
Source: RNAcentral
GCCCAGACUCCUACGGGAGGCAGCAGUGGGGGAUAUUGCACAAUGGGGGAAACCCUGAUGCAGCGACGCCGCGUGUGGGAAGACGGUCCUCUGGAUUGUAAACCACUGUCCCCAGGGACGAAAAUGACGGUACCUGGGGAGGAAGCUCCGGCUAACUACGUGCCAGCAGCCGCGGUAAUACGUAGGGAGCGAGCGUUGUCCGGAAUUACUGGGUGUAAAGGGAGCGUAGGCGGAAUGCCAAGUCAGCGGUAAAAUCGGGGGGCUCAACCUCGCUCCGCCGUUGAAACUGGCGUUCUUGAGUGGGCGAGAAGUAUGCGGAAUGCGUGGUGUAGCGGUGAAAUGCAUAGAUAUCACGCAGAACUCCGAUUGCGAAGGCAGCAUACCGGCGCCCAACUGACGCUGAAGCACGAAAGCGUGGGUAUCGAACAGGAUUAGAUACCCGCGUA